This is a non-coding RNA of Salmo salar (Atlantic salmon), 545 nucleotides long. NCBI's taxonomy places the organism in Eukaryota, Metazoa, Chordata, Actinopteri, Salmoniformes, Salmonidae. The record is from RefSeq and is a predicted model, not a curated record.
GUGAAAAUAAAACACUGAUGUUAGCAUUAGUAACAAUAGUUGUAAGAGGUUUCAGGUUUGUAUGGUAUUUCUUUAAAUCUUCUCCAGUUCUUUUAGCAACUCUCCAAAACUUGUGACGUACCACAAACUUUUCUCCUUUACUUGCUGCCUGACCACAUUUCCACCAAAUCCAAUGAAUGCAUUCUGAAAAACAAAACAAUGUGCUGAGGAAAAUUGCUUAAAAGGCAACCAGUGUCCAUUAUUCCAGUGUUACUUUACAUUAUAGCUGCUUUUAACACCUGACAAUCUGGUACUGGGUUGUAUUCAUUAGUCGCAGACCGUAGCAAAACGUUUUGCAAUGUACACUUGAGUUUCUAUUGGACAAAUUCAGCUAGGUUCCUCCCCGGUUCGUUCCGUUUGGUUCCUAGUGAAUACACCCCUGUAAUUGUGUCUUUGAAAAAGGCACUUAAUAAUUAACUCCUCCACAGGCACUGCUCUGCUGUUAACACUGCUCCACCUAAAAUGUGUUGUGUGUGUUUCUGUGGUGUCUAUGAGUGUUGGGAGCA